UGGGGAAUAUUGCACAAUGGGCGCAAGCCUGAUGCAGCAACGCUGCGUGAGGGACGACGGCCUUCGGGUUGUAAACCUCUUUUAGUAGGGAAGAAGCGAAAGUGACGGUACCUGCAGAAAAAGCACCGGCUAACUACGUGCCAGCAGCCGCGGUAAUACGUAGGGUGCGAGCGUUGUCCGGAAUUAUUGGGCGUAAAGAGCUCGUAGGCGGUCUGUCGCGUCUGCUGUGAAAACCCGAGGCUCAACCUCGGGCCUGCAGUGGGUACGGGCAGACUAGAGUGCGGUAGGGGAGAAUGGAAUUCCUGGUGUAGCGGUGGAAUGCGCAGAUAUCAGGAGGAACACCGAUGGCGAAGGCAGUUCUCUGGGCCGUAACUGACGCUGAGGAGCGAAAGCGUGGGGAGCGAACAGGAUUAGAUACCCUGGUAGUCCACGCCGUAAACGUUGGGCGCUAGAUGUGGGGACCAUUCCACGGUUUCCGUGUCGCAGCUAACGCAUUAAGCGCCCCGCCUGGGGAGUACGGCCGCAAGGCUAAAACUCAAAGGAAUUGACGGGGUCAUAGCUGUUCCU
Molecule: ribosomal RNA, 567 nt
Filed under: uncultured bacterium
Lineage: Bacteria
Description: partial 16S ribosomal RNA
Rfam family: Bacterial small subunit ribosomal RNA
Source: RNAcentral